AUCGUCGGUCACAUAAUCGAGAAAGCAUCGCAUCCCGUCUGAUCUGCGAGAUUUUAACCUCGAUAUCGCCUAGUCAGUACCAUCGUGGGGGACCAGAUGGGAAUUCUGGGUGCUGACGUUC
RNAcentral lists this ribosomal RNA (121 nucleotides) under Kwoniella heveanensis BCC8398. Lineage: Eukaryota; Fungi; Basidiomycota; Tremellomycetes; Tremellales; Cryptococcaceae. The record is from RNAcentral.